RNAcentral lists this long non-coding RNA (1769 nucleotides) under Brassica rapa (field mustard). Its description in RNAcentral is "long non-coding RNA (BRAP_LNC007451)". Lineage: Eukaryota; Viridiplantae; Streptophyta; Magnoliopsida; Brassicales; Brassicaceae. The record is from RNAcentral.
AGAUAAGCCGUCUUUUUUUCAAGUGAAAAAUGGUAAUAUUACAUAUGUUUAAUGUAGUUUUUUUCAUUUUUUAUGUUGUAUGUUUACAUAUUAUUUAUAAUUUUCGAAAAUUAGUAAUAUUAAAAUGUAAAACUAUAUUUUAUGCCACGUGUCAUCUUUCGGAAGAAGUUUUUUUUGCUUAUGUGGACGCUCUAUGGAGCCUCAAAAGGUCUGUUUUAUUAGUAUAGAUUUUUCUAUAUAUUGUUUAUUUCUCUUUUUUAUACUUUAUAUUUUGAUAAUAUCUAUAUUUUAUAUUUUAAGAUAUAUGUUUAAAUCUUAAUGUAUUUUUCCAUUUUUAAUGUAAAACGGCAAUGUUUAAUAGAAGAACUUGGACAAAUAGUCAAAUAGUUAUAUUUAUGUUUUUUUUAUUUUUUUAUAAAAUGGUAAUGUUACAUUAUGGAGAUAAGCCGUUUUUUUAGUGAAAAAGGAUAAUCUUACAUAUCUUUAAUGUAGUUUUCCAUUUUUUAUGUUGUAUGUUUACAUAUUAUUGUUAUUUUAAAUGUAAAAUGGUAAUCUUACAUAUGUUUAAUGUAGUAUUUCUAUUUUUUAUGUUGUAUGUUUAUAUAUUAUUUAUUAUUUUCGAAAUUAUAUAUAAUGUUUUUUUUACAAAAUAAUAAUGUUACAUUAUGAAGAUAAGCCGUCUUUUUUUAGUGAAAAAUGGUAAUCUUACAUAUGUGUAUGUUGUUUUUCCAUUUUUUAUGUUGUAUGUUUACAUAUUUUUAAAAAAAAAAAUGUAAAAUAGUAAUCUUACAUAUGUUUAAUGUAGUAUUUCCAUUUUUAUGUUGUUUGUUUACAUAUAUUUAUUAUUUUUGAAAUUAUAUAUAAUGUUUUUUUACAUUUUUUUAUAAAACGGUAAUGUUACAUUUUGGAGAUAAGCCGUCUUUUUUCAAGUGAAAAAUGGUAAUAUUACAUGUGUUUAAUGUAGUUUUUCAUUUUUUAUGUUGUAUGUUUACAUAUUAUUUAUAAUUUUCGAAAAUUAGUAAUAUUAAAAUGUAAAACUAUAUUUUAUGCCACGUGUCAUCUUUCGGAAGAAGUUUUUCUUGCUUAUGUGGACGCUCUAUGGAGCCUUAAAAGGUCUCUUUUAUUAGUAUAAUGUUAUAUUUUGGAGAUAAGCCGUCUUUUUUUCAAGUGAAAAAUGGUAAUAUUACAUAUGUUUAAUGUAGUUUUUUUCAUUUUUUAUGUUGUAUGUUUACAUAUUAUUUAUAAUUUUCGAAAAUUAGUAAUAUUAAAAUGUAAAACUAUAUUUUAUGCCACGUGUCAUCUUUCGGAAGAAGUUUUUUUUGCUUAUGUGGACGCUCUAUGGAGCCUCAAAAGGUCUGUUUUAUUAGUAUAGAUUUUUCUAUAUAUUGUUUAUUUCUCUUUUUUUAUACUUUAUAUUUUGAUAAUAUCUAUAUUUUAUAUUUUAAGAUAUAUGUUUAAAUCUUAAUGUAUUUUUCCAUUUUUAAUGUAAAACGGCAAUGUUUAAUAGAAGAACUUGGACAAAUAGUCAAAUAGUUAUAUUUAUGUUUUUUUUAUUUUUUUAUAAAAUGGUAAUGUUACAUUAUGGAGAUAAGCCGUUUUUUUUAGUGAAAAAGGAUAAUCUUACAUAUCUUUAAUGUAGUUUUUCCAUUUUUUAUGUUGUAUGUUUACAUAUUAUUGUUAUUUUAAAUGUAAAAUGGUAAUCUUACAUAUGUUUAAUGUAGUAUUUCUAUUUUUUAUGUUGUAUGUUUAUAUAUUAUUUAUUAUUUUCG